CCUACGGGAGGCAGCAGUGGGGAAUAUUGCACAAUGGGGGAAACCCUGAUGCAGCGACGCCGCGUGAGAGAUGAAGAAUUUCGGAAGGUAAAGCUCUAUCAGCGGGGAAGAAAAUGACGGUAUCUGACUAAGAAGCCCCGGCUAACUACGGGCCAGCAUCCGCGGGAAUACGUAGGGGGCAAGCGUUAUCCGGAUUUACUGGGUGGAACGGGAGCGUAGACGGUCCGGCAAGCCAGAUGUGAAAGCCCGGGGCUCAACCCCGGGACUGCAUUUGGAACUGUAAGGCUAGAGUGUCGGAGAGGCAGGCGGAAUUCCUAGUGUAGCGGUGAAAUGCGUCGCUAUUAGGAGCAACACCAGUGGCGCCGGCGGCCUGCUGGACGAUGACUGACGUUGAGGCUCGAAAGCGUGGGGAGCAAACAGGAUUAGAUACCCCGGUAGUC
Molecule: ribosomal RNA, 440 nt
Filed under: uncultured bacterium
Lineage: Bacteria
Description: partial 16S ribosomal RNA
Rfam family: Bacterial small subunit ribosomal RNA
Source: RNAcentral